This 429-nucleotide ribosomal RNA is filed under the name Pseudomonadota bacterium. RNAcentral describes it as "Proteobacteria bacterium partial 16S ribosomal RNA". It matches the Rfam family "Bacterial small subunit ribosomal RNA", at positions 355 to 776 of the family's 1533-position model. Lineage: Bacteria; Pseudomonadati; Pseudomonadota. The record is from RNAcentral.
UGGGGAAUAUUGGACAAUGGGCGAAAGCCUGAUCCAGCCAUUUCGCGUGUGUGAAGAAGGUCUUCGGAUUGUAAAGCACUUUAAGUUGGGAGGAAGGGCAGUAAGCGAAUACCUUGCUGUUUUGACGUUACCGACAGAAUAAGCACCGGCUAACUCUGUGCCAGCAGCCGCGGUAAUACAGCGGGUGCAAGCGUUAAUCGGAAUUACUGGGCGUAAAGCGCGCGUAGGUGGUUCGUUAAGUUGAAUGUGAAAGCCCCGGGCUCAACCUGGGAACUGCAUCCAAAACUGGCGAGCUAGAGUAGGGCAGAGGGUGGUGGAAUUUCCUGUGUAGCGGUGAAAUGCGUAGAUAUAGGAAGGAACACCAGUGGCGAAGGCGACCACCUGGGCUCAUACUGACACUGAGGUGCGAAAGCGUGGGGAGCAAACAGG